RNAcentral lists this ribosomal RNA (498 nucleotides) under uncultured bacterium. RNAcentral's name for it is "partial 16S ribosomal RNA". It matches the Rfam family "Bacterial small subunit ribosomal RNA", at positions 28 to 507 of the family's 1533-position model. The record is from RNAcentral.
GACGAACGCUGGCGGCGUGCUUAACACAUGCAAGUCGAACGAGAACGCCCUGUGUUUGUGGGGGUCUCGCUAGGCGAACAGGUGUGAAACACGCGAGUAACCCGCGCUUGACAGUGGGGUAUCACCUUCGAACACGGGCGAAUAACGCGCAUAAGUCUUCGCAGCGCGGGGGUGGUAGGAGAGUUGCGGCGGAUGCUGAUGGUGACGGGUGGACUCGCGGUGUAGUAGGUGGUUGGUGAGGUCACGGCUCAGCAAGGUAGGGAUGCAUAGCCGACCGGAGGGGGUGAUAGGCCACAUUGGGACUGAGCCACGGCCCAAACUCCUACGGGAGGCAGCAGUAGGGAACCGUCCGCAAUGGACGCAAGUCUGACGGAGCAACGCCGCGUGAGUGAAGAAGGUUUUCGGAUCGUAAAACUCUGUUGUGAGAGAAGAACAAGUGCUAGAGGAACUGUUAGCGCCUUGACGGUAUCUAACCAGAAAGCCACGGCUAACUACGUG